RNAcentral lists this ribosomal RNA (495 nucleotides) under uncultured bacterium. Its description in RNAcentral is "partial 16S ribosomal RNA". It matches the Rfam family "Bacterial small subunit ribosomal RNA", at positions 28 to 507 of the family's 1533-position model. The record is from RNAcentral.
GACGAACGCUGGCGGCGUGCCUAAUACAUGCAAGUAGAACGCUGAAGGAGGAGCUUGCUUCUCUGGAUGAGUUGCGAACGGGUGAGUAACGCGUAGGUAACCUGCCUGGUAGCGGGGGAUAACUAUUGGAAACGAUAGCUAAUACCGCAUAAUAGCAGUUGUUGCAUGACAACUGUUUGAAAGGUGCAAUUGCACCACUACCAGAUGGACCUGCGUUGUAUUAGCUAGUUGGUGGGGUAACGGCUCACCAAGGCGACGAUACAUAGCCGACCUGAGAGGGUGAUCGGCCACACUGGGACUGAGACACGGCCCAGACUCCUACGGGAGGCAACAGUAGGGAAUCUUCGGCAAUGGACGGAAGUCUGACCGAGCAACGCCGCGUGAGUGAAGAAGGUUUUCGGAUCGUAAAGCUCUGUUGUAAGAGAAGAACGAGUGUGAGAGUGGAAAGUUCACACUGUGACGGUAUCUUACCAGAAAGGGACGGCUAACUACGUG